UGAAAUAGCUCAGUCGGUAGAGCACUUCACUCGUAAUGAAGGGGUCGUGGGUUCAAGUCCCAUUUUCA
RNAcentral lists this transfer RNA (68 nucleotides) under pig gut metagenome. It matches the Rfam family "tRNA". Rfam says of the family: Transfer RNA (tRNA) molecules are approximately 80 nucleotides in length. Their secondary structure includes four short double-helical elements and three loops (D, anti-codon, and T loops). Further hydrogen bonds mediate the characteristic L-shaped molecular structure. tRNAs have two regions of fundamental functional importance: the anti-codon, which is responsible for specific mRNA codon recognition, and the 3' end, to which the tRNAs corresponding amino acid is attached (by aminoacyl-tRNA synthetases). tRNAs cope with the degeneracy of the genetic code in two manners: having more than one tRNA (with a specific anti-codon) for a particular amino acid; and 'wobble' base-pairing, i.e. permitting non-standard base-pairing at the 3rd anti-codon position. RNAcentral also lists the same sequence under 1 other name. The record is from RNAcentral.